UGGGGAAUAUUGGACAAUGGAGGGAACUCUGAUCCAGCAAUUCUGUGUGUGUGAAGAAGGUUUUAGGACUGUAAAACACUUUUAGUAGGGAAGAAAAAAAUGACGGUACCUACAGAAGAAGCAACGGCUAAAUACGUGCCAGCAGCCGCGGUAAUACGGAAGGUUCGGGCGUUAUCCGGAUUUAUUGGGUUUAAAGGGAGCGUAGGCCGUUUGGUAAGCGUGUUGUGAAAUGUAGGAGCUCAACUUCUAGAUUGCAGCGCGAACUGUCAGACUUGAGUGCGCACAACGUAGGCGGAAUUCAUGGUGUAGCGGUGAAAUGCUUAGAUAUCAUGAAGAACUCCGAUUGCGAAGGCAGCUUACGGGAGCGCAACUGACGCUGAAGCUCGAAGGAGCGGGUAUCGAACAGG
This 407-nucleotide ribosomal RNA is filed under the name Verrucomicrobiota bacterium. Its description in RNAcentral is "Verrucomicrobia bacterium partial 16S ribosomal RNA". It matches the Rfam family "Bacterial small subunit ribosomal RNA", at positions 355 to 776 of the family's 1533-position model. The record is from RNAcentral. Lineage: Bacteria; Pseudomonadati; Verrucomicrobiota.